CCUACGGGUGGCAGCAGUGGGGAAUAUUGGGCAAUGGGCGCAAGCCUGACCCAGCAACGCCGCGUGAAGGAAGAAGGCUUUCGGGUUGUAAACUUCUUUUGUCAGGGACGAAGCAAGUGACGGUACCUGACGAAUAAGCCACGGCUAACUACGUGCCAGCAGCCGCGGUAAUACGUAGGUGGCAAGCGUUAUCCGGAUUUAUUGGGUGUAAAGGGCGUGUAGGCGGGAAUGCAAGUCAGAUGUGAAAACUAGGGGCUCAACCCAUAGACUGCAUUUGAAACUGUAUUUCUUGAGUGCUGUAGAGGCAAUCGGAAUUCCGGGUGUAGCGGUGAAAUGCGUAGAUAUACGGAGGAACACCAGUGGCGAAGGCGGAUUGCUAGACAGUAACUGACGCUGAGGCGCGAAAGCGUGGGGAGCAAACAGGAUUAGAUACCCUUGUAGUC
Molecule: ribosomal RNA, 443 nt
Filed under: uncultured bacterium
Lineage: Bacteria
Description: partial 16S ribosomal RNA
Rfam family: Bacterial small subunit ribosomal RNA
Source: RNAcentral